Molecule: long non-coding RNA, 724 nt
Filed under: Erythranthe guttata (spotted monkey flower)
Lineage: Eukaryota; Viridiplantae; Streptophyta; Magnoliopsida; Lamiales; Phrymaceae
Description: long non-coding RNA (EGUT_LNC001757)
Source: RNAcentral
UUUUCUCCCACUCCCACCCCCACAUCUCUCAGCCGACAUUUAUCCCCCUCUCUCUCUCUUUCUCCCUUUCUCUCUCUCUCUCUCUCUCUCUCUCUCUCUCUCUCUCUCUCUCUCUCUCUCUCUCUCUCUCUUCAUCUCUCUCUAACUCUCGCUCUACCCACUGUCCACUGCCGCCGCCGCUGUUCCCUCACCUCGUUGCGCCGCCUCCCCCACCUCGUUGCGCCGCCGUCGCCGCUCCCCUACCUCGCUGCGCCGUUGUUGCCGCUCCACUACCUCGCAGCGCCGCCGUCGCCACUCCCCUACCUCGCAGCGCCGCCGCCGCUCCUGUACAAAAAAAUAUUGAUACCAAUUAUUGCUGCUUCCAUUGUUCUUGGCGAACUUGUUUUUUCCUUCUUCUAAAUUUACUAUUACCGCAAAUACACUCUCAAAUCCAACCACAAAGAUCAACACAUGUCACUUUCUUCUUUUUUAUUAUUCAUUAUUCUCCUCAGAUCAGAUCCUCACAUUAUUAUCAUUUUGAUUUAAUUAAUUAGCUGUCUCAUUAUUAGAUCUACUAUUAUUUUUAAAAUUAGAUCUACUAUUUUUUAAGAUUUGUGAAUAAUUAAUAUUAAAAUAUUUUUCUUUGGAUUAAUUUGAUUUUUUAUUUCGUUUGAUUCUUAUGUUGUUUAUUUUUGUUAUAAAUGAUUUUUGUUAUAAAUAUUUUUUAUUUCGGUAGGGUUAAUAU